This is a non-coding RNA of Doryrhamphus excisus (bluestripe pipefish), 449 nucleotides long. The record is from RefSeq and is a predicted model, not a curated record. NCBI's taxonomy places the organism in Eukaryota, Metazoa, Chordata, Actinopteri, Syngnathiformes, Syngnathidae.
GUUUGCUACCCAUGAACAGGAAGUCUUGCUUGGUCUGCAUCCUUCCAAUUGUGCAUCUACAAAUAACACGGUACAUCUACGUCCAUUUUGAGUUGCUUACAGACACCAAUGUGCUCAGUGUGGAGGAAUGUGGAAGAGCCAUCACAGAAUACUUCAGAGUAAAAUUGACCAUCAAAGAUGUCCUCUGUAAUAGCGAAGGUACAGAGAUGGAACUUUGCAUUGUUCAGCUGCUCAUGGCACACUUCGGAGAGGAGCUAACAGGGCUGGUCCUUCUUGCAGAUCUGACAUUGAAACAACCUUCACUCCUCCUGCAAGCCCUCGUCUGAUACUGCUUGUUUCAGGUGGAACAGAGAAUGUCAAUAUUGGAUGCUGGAUGAUUACUCUGGAGGGGCGUGUAAUAUCUGAGGGCAUCACACCAUCCUUUUUGACCGGACUGGCUGCUGUGUUUG